RNAcentral lists this transfer RNA (79 nucleotides) under Cordylochernes scorpioides. Its description in RNAcentral is "tRNA-Thr". The record is from RNAcentral. Lineage: Eukaryota; Metazoa; Arthropoda; Arachnida; Pseudoscorpiones; Chernetidae.
UGUCCAGGGAUGGAAACCAAACCCACAGAGUUCCGCUUACCGGGCAGAUGCCAUGUCCACUAGGCUACCAUCCCUGGAC